AAACCAGCACCUCAAGUGGUCAGGAGGAUUAUUGGGCCUAAAGCAUCCGUAGCCUGCUCUGUAAGUUUCCGGUUAAAUUCAUUAGCUUAACUAAUGGCCUGCCGGAAAUACUGCAGAACUAGGAAGUGGGAGAGGUAGACGGUACUCGGUAGGAAGGGGUAAAAUCCUUUGAUCUAUUGAUGACCACCUGUGGCGAAGGCGGUCUACCAGAACACGUUCGACGGUGAGGGAUGAAAGCUGGGGGAGCAAACCGGAUUAGAAACCCUUGUAGUCC
RNAcentral lists this ribosomal RNA (274 nucleotides) under uncultured bacterium. RNAcentral describes it as "partial 16S ribosomal RNA". It matches the Rfam family "Archaeal small subunit ribosomal RNA", at positions 473 to 747 of the family's 1478-position model. The record is from RNAcentral.